GCGUUAUCCGGAUUUAUUGGGCGUUAAGAGCUCGUAGUCGGCCGUUCGCGUCGGAUGUGAAAGCUCAGGGCUCAACUCUGAGAUGCCAUUCGAUACGGGACGGCUAGAGGUAGGUAGGGGAGAGUGGAAUUCCUGGUGUAGCGGUGAAAUGCGCAGAUAUCAGGAGGAACACCGGUGGCGAAGGCGGCUCUCUGGGCAUUACCUGACGCUGAGGAGCGAAAGUGUGGGGAGCGAACAGG
RNAcentral lists this ribosomal RNA (239 nucleotides) under uncultured bacterium. RNAcentral's name for it is "partial 16S ribosomal RNA". It matches the Rfam family "Bacterial small subunit ribosomal RNA", at positions 538 to 776 of the family's 1533-position model. The record is from RNAcentral.